Molecule: RNA transcript, 2447 nt
Organism: Eucalyptus grandis
Lineage: Eukaryota; Viridiplantae; Streptophyta; Magnoliopsida; Myrtales; Myrtaceae
Gene name: SH3 domain-containing protein 2
Exons: 5
Source: RefSeq, a predicted model, not a curated record
AAGUGCCCACACACUCUCAUUAGAAUGCAAAUCUCUCUCCCUUUCUCUCUCUCUCUCCGGGGAAGAAUGCUGAACGGUGAAAACCAGUGCUCCACCAGGUGAGAGAGACCGGAGAGCCGUUCGAAAGCGAACGGAGGCGAUUAGGAAGCAAGCCGCUGGUCUCGGAGAACCUAUCGCCAAGCAGCAGCAGAUGGUGUUGGAAACACAGAGUAUAAAAACAUCUCCAUCAUUUGAAGAAGCCAACGGUGUCUGUGCAUCACAUACGCGAAAUGGUUCUGCCGAUAGAAGGAGUUACUUUCUGGGAGAGGUUACGCAGCCAUAUCAAGCUGAACCUGAUGUAGAGCUGAAUCUAUCAGUCGGUGAUCACGCCAUUGUCCCAAAGAUCGAAAAAAUUCAAGAAUCUGAACUAUCAAAUUUUAAUUCAAAGAUACAAGGUAUGCACUGGCCGCAUUUCUAACCUUUCUUCUAUUAAUGUUUGCCAUCUACUUUGUCUAUUUAGAAUACAUAUGCCACUUUGGUUUGGGUAGUAAAUCAAUGGUGAUGCACUUGGGUUAUGAGAUAUUUUGAUGGGAGAGUUAUUCACGAUGUUUGUUUCGUGUUAUAUUAUCCACUACUGUAUUUCGUAUUGUGUUUCGUAUUCCGAUGACUGACUAAGUUAAAAGGCUGAGUUGUUGAUAGAUGGUUGUGGUGCAACACUUGUUGUGGAUGAUGCUGUAUUUAGUGAUAUUCGGGUGUUGUCUUGUAGAAUUUGUCCGCCACUAUUAAUUAUAAUUCUUGUGAGAAGCCCAAAUUGCAUAUUUUGCAUGACGGGAUAUUAACACAUGCUGCUUUUGAGUAUACUCAUGCUAUUUUUAAAAGGUUUUAUGAAGAAUUUUUACAAAUUGAAAUCAAGUAUUGUUUUCAAUGGAUUGGUUUAUGAAUACACUCUCAAGUGUUAGGAGAUUCAAGGUGAACAUAUUAUCUCAUGUUGAAUUUUUAGUUUCUUAUGAAUGUAAAUUAUUUGAAUAAAAAAUGUAUGUAUUGAAUGAGAACGUAUCGGUUUCAGUUGUUCCAUCUUAUAUUUCAAAAGAUAUGGACUAAGAGUGCAAAGUAAAGGUAUAUUGAUGAUGAAUUUCAUGAAAUGUUACUAGGUCCAUCUACCUUUAAUAGAUUUUCCACAUUAUGCAAAAUGCUUAUGAAGUGAUGAGUUUGGGAGCUCAAGAUGUAAAUACUAUGAGAAUAACAAAGAACUUGGAUGCAAUAGUAAUUGAAAUUUCAUGAUAUAACUCAAGUAUGGUUGCGACAGAUGGUGCUAGUGAUAAUGAUGAUAAUGAAGUUUCUUUGUGUGAUUUGUCAGUAUUAGAUUCCCUUCGGAUCCCUUUGAAGAAAAGGAAAUGGAAUAAGUUAUGGAAUGCUUACAAGCUCAAGUGAGGAAAAAAAAGAAAAAAAUCCAAUAAAGUAAUACUUGAUGCUGGUAGAAAAUCAAGCUGGCUGUCCAAGCAACGUUCAAGUAACGUCCAAGCAACGCAUGUUGAGACUCAUUUGUGAGAAUGAAUUAUUCAAGAAAUUCAAAUCAAAUUCAAAAUGCAUUUUUGUCUUGGCAACCUUGAAUGGUCUUGUAGUAAAUCUUAAUUUUUAUAAUGAGGUAUGUCUCUCUAAGUUCAACAUCUGUAUUUGCAUUUUAUUAAUUUGAUCAUUUUGUUUUUCAUAUAGAUGCAACUGGCAUACAUUAUGCCACCAAGAAUUACGAAUGGGUUUUUCCUAUUCACUAAUCAAUAUAUUAAUUUAAUGUUUGGCUGAAAUUUAAUGUCCCAUAGAAGUAUUUUGUUACAUUCUAUUAAUGAGGUCAUUAUUUUUAUAUAGUUGCUAUCAUCAUACUUCAUGCUAUGAGGGACUAUGAAAGCCAUUUAAGAUUGCAGCGUUGUUUCAUUUAUAAUAAACUAUUUAAGUGCUUGUUGAUAAUGGUUUCUGGAGUAUCGUAAUAGAUCCCAUGAAACAUUAUGAAUCAGGUCUAAGUUGUCUCACUUUUGUCGAUGUGACAUUAUUUGACAUGAUAUUUAUGCAUGGCCAUUGUUUAGAAAAUUAUGCAUUUUCUCAAUAUAUAUUUUAUUCAUUUGUACAGGAUCAAGAUGAAUUUGAAUAAAUUGAAUGAUUCUGAAGGACAAUGGACAAUCAUAUAAAAUCAUCACGAGGCAUAAGAUAGCAGCAUGGUCGUUUCUUAUGCUUGUUAGAAUUCUUCUAUCUUUUGUGUUAUUUGGAAAGCUUGAUAGUAGAAGGACCAUAAAGAAGGCAUAUAUUUUUAUAUUGAGCAGUUUGUUGAAUAUAUUGGAUGAUAUGUUAAGAAGUCCUAAUUUGACAAAAAUUGAUGGUUUUGGUGUGUAAUUACAUGUACUUUUAGCAACACAAUCAUUGUUUUUUAUGCUUGUAAGAAUUCCCUUGUCUCUUGUGGUAUUUGGGAAGCUUGAUUG